This 253-nucleotide ribosomal RNA is filed under the name uncultured bacterium. RNAcentral describes it as "partial 16S ribosomal RNA". It matches the Rfam family "Bacterial small subunit ribosomal RNA", at positions 524 to 776 of the family's 1533-position model. The record is from RNAcentral.
GACGUAGGAUGCAAGCGUUGUCCGGAAUUAUUGGGCGUAAAGAGUUCGUAGGUGGUUUGCCAAGUCUGACGUUAAAGCCCGAAGCUCAACUUCGGUUCGGCAUCGGAAACUGGCAGGCUAGAGUCUGGUAGAGGCAAGGGGAAUUCCCGGUGUAGCGGUGAAAUGCGCAGAUAUCAGGAAGAACACCCGUGGCGAAGGCGGCUCUCUGGGACGGUACUGACGCUGAGACGCGAAAGCGUGGGGAGCGAACAGG